This 764-nucleotide ribosomal RNA is filed under the name Weissella paramesenteroides. Its description in RNAcentral is "bacterial SSU rRNA". It matches the Rfam family "Bacterial small subunit ribosomal RNA", at positions 47 to 797 of the family's 1533-position model. The record is from RNAcentral. Lineage: Bacteria; Bacillati; Bacillota; Bacilli; Lactobacillales; Lactobacillaceae.
UUUAAUUGAUAUGAAGAGCUUGCUCUGAUUUGAUUUUAUCUGACAAAGAGUGGCGAACGGGUGAGUAACACGUGGGUAACCUACCUCUUAGCAGGGGAUAACAUUUGGAAACAAGUGCUAAUACCGUAUAACACUAACAACCGCAUGGUUGUUAGUUGAAAGAUGGUUCUGCUAUCACUAAGAGAUGGACCCGCGGUGCAUUAGCUAGUUGGUAAGGUAAUGGCUUACCAAGGCGAUGAUGCGUAGCCGAGUUGAGAGACUGAUCGGCCACAAUGGGACUGAGACACGGCCCAUACUCCUACGGGAGGCAGCAGUAGGGAAUCUUCCACAAUGGGCGCAAGCCUGAUGGAGCAACGCCGCGUGUGUGAUGAAGGGUUUCGGCUCGUAAAACACUGUUAUAAGAGAAGAACGACAUUGAGAGUAACUGUUCAGUGUGUGACGGUAUCUUAUCAGAAAGGAACGGCUAAAUACGUGCCAGCAGCCGCGGUAAUACGUAUGUUCCAAGCGUUAUCCGGAUUUAUUGGGCGUAAAGCGAGCGCAGACGGUUAUUUAAGUCUGAAGUGAAAGCCCUCAGCUCAACUGAGGAAGGGCUUUGGAAACUGGAUAACUUGAGUGCAGUAGAGGAAAGUGGAACUCCAUGUGUAGCGGUGAAAUGCGUAGAUAUAUGGAAGAACACCGGUGGCGAAAGCGGCUUUCUGGACUGUAACUGACGUUGAGGCUCGAAAGUGUGGGUAGCAAACAGGAUUAGAUACCCUGGUAGUCCA